CAACUUUCAGCAAUGGAUCUCUUGGUUCUCGCAUCGAUGAAGAACGCAGUGAAAUGCGAUAACUGGUGUGAAUUGCAUCUAUGUAACUCUAAUUUACGGAUAACACCAAGUGAAUCAUCGAGUCUUUGAACGCAAUUGCGCCCUCUCGGUCGCUUCC
Molecule: ribosomal RNA, 157 nt
Filed under: uncultured Craterellus
Lineage: Eukaryota; Fungi; Basidiomycota; Agaricomycetes; Cantharellales; Hydnaceae
Description: 5.8S ribosomal RNA
Rfam family: 5.8S ribosomal RNA
About the family: 5.8S ribosomal RNA (5.8S rRNA) is a component of the large subunit of the eukaryotic ribosome. It is transcribed by RNA polymerase I as part of the 45S precursor that also contains 18S and 28S rRNA. Functionally, it is thought that 5.8S rRNA may be involved in ribosome translocation.
Source: RNAcentral